RNAcentral lists this ribosomal RNA (388 nucleotides) under Bacillus anthracis (anthrax bacterium). Its description in RNAcentral is "bacterial SSU rRNA". It matches the Rfam family "Bacterial small subunit ribosomal RNA", at positions 1 to 376 of the family's 1533-position model. The record is from RNAcentral. Lineage: Bacteria; Bacillati; Bacillota; Bacilli; Caryophanales; Bacillaceae.
UUUAUUGGAGAGUUUGAUCCUGGCUCAGGAUGAACGCUGGCGGCGUGCCUAAUACAUGCAAGUCGAGCGAAUGGAUUAAGAGCUUGCUCUUAUGAAGUUAGCGGCGGACGGGUGAGUAACACGUGGGUAACCUGCCCAUAAGACUGGGAUAACUCCGGGAAACCGGGGCUAAUACCGGAUAACAUUUUGAACUGCAUGGUUCGAAAUUGAAAGGCGGCUUCGGCUGUCACUUAUGGAUGGACCCGCGUCGCAUUAGCUAGUUGGUGAGGUAACGGCUCACCAAGGCAACGAUGCGUAGCCGACCUGAGAGGGUGAUCGGCCACACUGGGACUGAGACACGGCCCAGACUCCUACGGGAGGCAGCAGUAGGGAAUCUUCCGCAAUGGAC